GUUUUAAUACAGGUAGAGGUCAGUUCUGAGCCGCAGCUGAAACGCUGGACAUCGCUUUGCUUUAAAACACACUGGUGGCGUGGAUGGAGCCUCAGACCCUUCCUGUCCAGGGGCCUCAUUGGUGGUGGUUGAGUCUGGAUCUGCAGACUCUCCAGUGGAGAAAUACUUCAGUCCGUCGAUGCUGCAGGACCCCUGGGCAGCUCUGCAGCCCGCCACAGGCCGCCAGACCAGCAGCCUGACGGGGAACGGCAGAUAGCAGCAGCAGCA
Long non-coding RNA from Micropterus salmoides (largemouth bass), 267 nucleotides. RefSeq lists it as uncharacterized. Lineage: Eukaryota; Metazoa; Chordata; Actinopteri; Centrarchiformes; Centrarchidae. The transcript is spliced from 2 exons. The record is from RefSeq and is a predicted model, not a curated record.